Molecule: RNase P RNA, 325 nt
Filed under: human gut metagenome
Description: Bacterial RNase P class B
Rfam family: Bacterial RNase P class B
About the family: Ribonuclease P (RNase P) is a ubiquitous endoribonuclease, found in archaea, bacteria and eukarya as well as chloroplasts and mitochondria. Its best characterised activity is the generation of mature 5'-ends of tRNAs by cleaving the 5'-leader elements of precursor-tRNAs. Cellular RNase Ps are ribonucleoproteins.
Source: RNAcentral
AGACAAACGCUGAUAUUUUUAUAUUAGAGGAAAGUCCAUGCUCGCACAGUCUGAGAUGAUUGUAGUGUUCGUGCCUAGGGAAAAAAUAACCUAGGGUAGUUUUUACUAACGGCGGAAGAUAAUCUAAGUCUUUGAUAUGAUUUAUUCCAUAACGUGCCGCAGUGACGAUGCUUUAGGAAACUAAAGAGUGAAACGUGGUAAACCCCGCGAGCGAGAAAUCCAAAUUUGGUAGGAGAGCUCUAACGGAAGAAAUGAAUGAAGUUAGGGACCAGCGAUGGUAGAUAAAUGUUUGUCGCCUGGCAACAGGAACAGAACAUGGCUUAUU